Molecule: ribosomal RNA, 163 nt
Filed under: uncultured bacterium
Lineage: Bacteria
Description: partial 16S ribosomal RNA
Rfam family: Bacterial small subunit ribosomal RNA
Source: RNAcentral
UAGGGAAUCUUCCACAAUGGACGAAAGUCUGAUGGAGCAACGCCGCGUGAGUGAAGAAGGGUUUCGGCUCGUAAACUCUGUUGUUAAAGAAGAACAUAUCUGAGAGUAACUGUUCAGGUAUUGACGGUAUUUAACCAGAAAGCCACGGCUAACUACGUGCUAG